CAGUCGCCGCGGUAAUACAGAGGAUGCAAGCGUUAUCCGGAACGAUUGGGCGUAAAGCGUCUGUAGGUGGCUUUUCAAGUCCGCCGUCAAAUCCCAGGGCUCAACCCUGGACAGGCGGUGGAAACUACCAAGCUGGAGUACGAUAGGGGCAGAGGGAAUUUACGGUGGAGCAGUGAAAUGCGUUGGGAUCGGAAAGAACACGAACAGCGAAAGCACUCAGCUGGGCCGACACUGACACUGAGAGACGAAAGCUAGGGGAGCAAAUGGGAUUAGAUACCCCUGUAGUCCCUGUCUCUUAUAU
This 301-nucleotide ribosomal RNA is filed under the name uncultured bacterium. RNAcentral's name for it is "partial 16S ribosomal RNA". It matches the Rfam family "Bacterial small subunit ribosomal RNA", at positions 509 to 809 of the family's 1533-position model. The record is from RNAcentral.